RNAcentral lists this long non-coding RNA (1250 nucleotides) under Citrus x clementina. RNAcentral describes it as "Citrus clementina (C. clementina) long non-coding RNA (CCLE_LNC000551)". The record is from RNAcentral. Lineage: Eukaryota; Viridiplantae; Streptophyta; Magnoliopsida; Sapindales; Rutaceae.
AAUUUUUUAUUUUAAUAUGAUUAACUCAAAAUCGAAAAUAAAAAAAAUGUAUUAGUUAUUCGGAGAUCGGAGACCCUCGGGGAUCCCUUGUUAUUAUUCGGGGAGGGGAUCAAGAUUCUCUCAAAUAAUUCUGACGGGGACGGGGAGAGGACGGGGACAUACGCAAAAUAUUAGGGAUGAGUACGGGGAGAUCGGUCCCCUCCCCUCCCCUCCCCAUUGCCAUCCCUAAGAAACACAUUGAGAUUGUGUUAAAAAUAUAUAGAUAUUUUGAUUCUAUAAUAUCGUUGGAAAGAUGAGGGAUCAAGUGAAAUUUUUCAAAACUUUUGAAGAAUUGAUUUUGUUAUUAUUAAUUGUUACUAAAUCAAGCGGGAAGGGUGCUUUCCUUUUUAGAAUGAAUGGACGAAUUAAACAAGAGAGAAAAUCUUGAAAAUAUACCAAAGUUAAAUUAAUUAACAUUUUAUCACAAUCUUCAUUAUUGAAGGAGAAUAUUUUAUGUUUCCUCCCAAGAUUUUAUCUCAUUGCAUUAAAUUGGAAUUUUUUUGAGUAAUGAGAAAAGAAUUAACUUAGGUGGUCUUCUUAUCCUCCAAUUUCACCAAUUUUCCAUUUUCAUCUCAAUCCAUUGAAUUCUAUGCCGGCCUAUUUUCUCAUUCUGUUAUCAACUUCCUCCUUAAGAUGGUAUAAUAUUUUUGCAAUUUUUUCGCACUGUCGAAUAUUUUCUAUAAAAGAUCUUCCAAUUUUAGAUGCGGUUACUAAUUAUGGGCUACUUUAUAGUUAUUCUGCUUCAAUUUAAUCCUUAAAUUACAAUAAUUUAUUUUACUUUAAAGAGUAAAUUAGAAGGGUCAAUUAUCCUCAGUAAUCAUGGGCAUUUAUCGUCUUUCAUAGAGACUCGAACAAAUUCUACUAUGGUGGGAGAAGAAUCUUUAACGCUUGCCAAUGGAUUGGGUAAUGUCAACCGAUAAACAGUAACAAGAUCAAAACCUAUUGAAAAACUUGAUGGGCUCCCUUGGAAGACAAAAGCCGUUACACGGUGUCUGAAAUAAAAGCCCAACGUUAAUCCACAUGGACCAAGUUUGGUUAAGUCCGAUCCAUUUUUCUGCUUAAUUUGAUCCUGGUCUUGCCAUCCUAAGGCUCCGUUUGGUACAACUUAUUAAAUAGAGCUUAUAACAGUAGAGCUUAUACCAAUAGAGCUUAUAUCAAUAGAGCUUUUGGACAAAAAGUCAUUGGUUGUUUGGUUGUCAAUAAAAAAGUAC